AGCAGCCGCGGUAAUUCCAGCUCCAAUAGCGUAUAUUAAAGUUGUUGCAGUUAAAAAGCUCGUAGUUGAAUUUCGGGAUCAAUAUAUCGGUCGUGCCUUGGUACGUACUGGUAUCAUUGGUUUCUCCUUUCUGACGAACCAUGAUGUCAUUAAUUUGGUGUUAUGGGAAGUUAGGACUGUUACUUUGAAAAAAUUAGAGUGUUUAAAGCAGGCUUUGGCUUGAAUACAUUAGCAUGGAAUAAUGAAAUAGGACGUUCGAACCUAUUUUGUUGGUUUCUAGGAUCAACGUAAUGAUUAAUAGGGAUAGUUGGGGGCAUUAGUAUUCAAUUGUCAGAGGUGAAAUUCUUGGAUUUAUUGAAGACUAACUACUGCGAAAGCAUUUGCCAAGGAUGUUUUCAUUAAUCAAGAACGAAAGUUAGGGGAUCGAAGACGAUCAGAUACCGUCGUAGUCUUAACCAUAAACUAUGCCGACUAGGGAUCGGAUGAUGUUAAUUUUUAAUGACUACAUUCGGCGCCUUAC
This 520-nucleotide unclassified non-coding RNA is filed under the name uncultured Glomus. Its description in RNAcentral is "SSU rRNA". It matches the Rfam family "Eukaryotic small subunit ribosomal RNA", at positions 569 to 1091 of the family's 1831-position model. The record is from RNAcentral. Lineage: Eukaryota; Fungi; Glomeromycota; Glomeromycetes; Glomerales; Glomeraceae.